RNAcentral lists this ribosomal RNA (468 nucleotides) under uncultured bacterium. RNAcentral's name for it is "partial 16S ribosomal RNA". It matches the Rfam family "Bacterial small subunit ribosomal RNA", at positions 28 to 507 of the family's 1533-position model. The record is from RNAcentral.
GACGAACGCUGGCGGCGUGCUUAACACAUGCAAGUCGAACGGAAAGGCCCUGCUUUUGUGGGGUGCUCGAGUGGCGAACGGGUGAGUAACACGUGAGUAACCUGCCCUUGACUGUGGGAUAACUUCAGGAAAAUGGGGCUAAUACCGGAUAGGAGCUCCUGCUGCAUGGGGGGGGUUGGAAAGUUUCGGCGGUGGGGGAUGGACUCGCGGCUUAUCAGCUUGUUGGUGGGGUAGUGGCUGACCACGGCUUUGACGGGUAGCCGGCCUGAGAGGGUGACCGGCCACAUUGGGCCUGCGAUACGGCCCAGACUCCUACGGUCGGCAGCAGUGGGGAAUCUUGCACAAUGGGCGGACGCCUGAUGCAGCAACGCCGCGUGCGGGAUGACGGCCUUCGGGUUGUAAACCGCUUUCGCCUGUGACGAAGCGUGAGUGACGGUAAUGGGUAAAGAAGCCCCGGCUAACUACGUG